CUCGAUGCUGUUGUCUUUUGGCCGACUACAGAAGCAGAUGUCUCUUGAACUCGUGAUUUACUUAGGCAUGUACAAUUAGGCGAGAAAUUUAGCAAAUUCCAUUCCAUUCUCCAUUCUUUUUAAGAAAAGAAAUCUAUCAGAGCUUGAGAAGGAGACAUUAUAUUGAUCGUAACUGCUGGAAGUUCAAUCAAAACCAUACACAAGAUGAUGGGUUCCAAAAUAAACUUUUUAUUCAUACUUGUCGUCUUUAACAUAUUUAGCAUGGGAUACCUAUCUAGUCCAAACUCAUCUUCGCCUCUUUCUUUGCGACCUAAAUUGUGUGAUCUUGAGUAUGACCAUGGUCCUUGCUACACGAACAAAAUGGGAGCGUUAUUAAAAUCUCAGUGGAGAUUUUAUUUUUCGCCAUCAUCGAACGAGUGUAAUCGUUUCAGGUACGAAGGCUGCGGAGGAAAUCAAAAUAAUUU
Linepithema humile (Argentine ant) is the source of this 464-nucleotide long non-coding RNA. RefSeq lists it as uncharacterized. Lineage: Eukaryota; Metazoa; Arthropoda; Insecta; Hymenoptera; Formicidae. The record is from RefSeq and is a predicted model, not a curated record.